CCUGGUGCAGCGUAAUCAGUUGUCAACCAUUGGAUUAUUCAGUGUGCAUUGUCUGUUUUAAACAUCUCAGGAAUUAGGUGGGACAAACAACUAACUAUGAAUGUGAGAAUACAAGGCCAUGGAAAAUGGUAUCUAAAUUUACCAGGAGUUUAAGACUCCAGCUAUUGGAAACAGAAGAAGAGGAUGCAGCAGCUAAGCUGGCUAUUGACAGGCUUCUGCCUUCUGUUUCCAAUACUCACGUCCAAUGCAGUCUAUAAAGAAUGUAAACACUUCUUCAAUAGUACAACACUGAAUAAAAGUGGGACAUUUAAUUCUACUGCGUGGCCUGGUCUAUACCCUCUCAAUACUCACUGCAUGUACUACUUCAUUGGCCUCCGGAAUGAGAGAGUCGAGUUGAACAUCACAGACUUCCAGCUACAAGGAGUUUACCCUCACAAUCUAUGAAGUA
Molecule: long non-coding RNA, 448 nt
Organism: Saccostrea cuccullata (small rock oyster)
Lineage: Eukaryota; Metazoa; Mollusca; Bivalvia; Ostreida; Ostreidae
Exons: 5
Source: RefSeq, a predicted model, not a curated record